Molecule: ribosomal RNA, 301 nt
Filed under: uncultured bacterium
Lineage: Bacteria
Description: partial 16S ribosomal RNA
Rfam family: Bacterial small subunit ribosomal RNA
Source: RNAcentral
CAGCCGCCGCGGGAAUACAGAGGGUGCGAGCGUUAAUCGGAUUUACUGGGCGUAAAGCGUGCGUAGGCGGCUAAUUGAGUCGGAUGUGAAAUCCCCGAGCUUAACUUGGGAAUUGCAUUCGAUACUGGUUAGCUAGAGUGUGGGAGAGGAUGGUAGAAUUCCAGGUGUAGCGGUGAAAUGCGUAGAGAUCUGGAGGAAUACCGAUGGCGAAGGCAGCCAUCUGGCCUAAUACUGACGCUGAGGUACGAAAGCAUGGGGAGCAAACAGGAUUAGAUACCCCCGUAGUCCCUGUCUCUUAUAA